AUACUUCGACAGCACAUAUACUAAAAACUGAAUGAUAUAGACAAGAUUAGUGUGGCCCUGCACAAGGACAACAUGCAGAUUCAUGAAGCAGUCCCUUUUUUG
Small nuclear RNA from Cricetulus griseus (Chinese hamster), 102 nucleotides. The record is from Ensembl. Lineage: Eukaryota; Metazoa; Chordata; Mammalia; Rodentia; Cricetidae.